AUGUACAUUCCUAUAACAUAGCGUUAAUGCACUGGAUCCCAUUAGAACUUGGUAGUUAAUCAUGCUCAAGCUAGAGUAGUACUGGGAUGAGUGACCUCCUAGGAAGUCUUAGUGUUUUACAUG
This is a non-coding RNA of Picea glauca (white spruce), 123 nucleotides long. The record is from Rfam. NCBI's taxonomy places the organism in Eukaryota, Viridiplantae, Streptophyta, Pinopsida, Pinales, Pinaceae.